This 434-nucleotide long non-coding RNA is filed under the name Mus musculus (house mouse). Its description in RNAcentral is "predicted gene, 37952". The record is from RNAcentral. Lineage: Eukaryota; Metazoa; Chordata; Mammalia; Rodentia; Muridae.
GGCCUUGCUCUUAUGUCAUCUGACUAAAGGUUUCAUAGACCAAAAUAACCAUCCAACCUGUUGGAAUACUGAAACAAUUGCUGCCUGCUUUCCACACACUACAUAAAAUAUGUGGAUAUCCUAAAUUCUACAAAAAAAGAUUUGUAAGCAAAUCAAGCAAUACUGGGACUCCCUCUUCUCCAGAAGAGACAUCCUGGCCUCCAUGCAGAGGAAUGUGUGGAUAGACAUAUAUUUAAGGAAGACACUAAACCAGAAAAUACUACAUUACACCCUCUUAAAAGACUUCUAAGAUUGUUGUCAUGCCUACCACAGACAUUCAGAUGAUGUGUAUUCUUGAUUGUGAUUUCAUGUUUGGAGCUGAUGAAGGAGUUUGAAGUCUCCAGAGCAGCAAGGAGAGUGGGGAGUAGAACUCAUCAUCUUUAAGUCACUCAUCA